Molecule: ribosomal RNA, 502 nt
Filed under: uncultured bacterium
Lineage: Bacteria
Description: bacterial SSU rRNA
Rfam family: Bacterial small subunit ribosomal RNA
Source: RNAcentral
GAUUAUGGCUCAGGAUGAACGCUGGCGGCGUGCUUAACACAUGCAAGUCGAACGGAGUUUUUAACGGAAGUUUCGGAUGGAAGUUUAGAAACUUAGUGGCGGACGGGUGAGUAACGCGUGGGUAACCUGCCUCAUACAGGGGGAUAACAGUUAGAAAUGACUGCUAACACCGCAUAAUAUAGCGAAACCGCAUGAUUUUGCUAUCAAAUAUUUAUAGGUAUGAGAUGGGCCCGCGUCUGAUUAGCUAGUUGGUGGGGUAAAGGCCUACCAAGGCGACGAUCAGUAGCCGGCUUGAGAGAGUGACCGGCCACAUUGGGACUGAGACACGGCCCAAACUCCUACGGGAGGCAGCAGUGGGGAAUAUUGGACAAUGGGGGAAACCCUGAUCCAGCGAACCGCCGCGUGAGUGAAGAAGUAUUUCGGUAUGUAAAGCUCUAUCAGCAGGGAAGAUAAUGACAGUACCUGACUAAGAAGCCCCGGCUAACUACGUGCCAGCAGCCGC